UGGGGAAUAUUGGACAAUGGGGGAAACCCUGAUCCAGCAAUGCCGCGUGGGUGAUGAAGGCCUUCGGGUUGUAAAGCCCUUUCGGCGGGGACGAUGAUGACGGUACCCGCAGAAGAAGCCCCGGCUAACUUCGUGCCAGCAGCCGCGGUAAUACGAAGGGGCUAGCGUUGUUCGGAAUUACUGGGCGUAAAGGGCGCGUAGGCGGUCCCGAUCGUCGGAUGUGAAAGCCCCGGGCUUAACUGGGAACGGCAUUCGAUACGGCGGGGCUAGAGUGUGGGAGAGGAUGGUGGAAUUCCCAGUGUAGAGGUGAAAUUCGUAGAUAUUGGGGAAGAACACCGGUGGCGAAGGCGGCCAUCUGGACCACAACUGACGCUGAGGCGCGAAAGCGUGGGGAGCAAACAGGAUUAGAUACC
Molecule: ribosomal RNA, 413 nt
Filed under: uncultured bacterium
Lineage: Bacteria
Description: bacterial SSU rRNA
Rfam family: Bacterial small subunit ribosomal RNA
Source: RNAcentral